Vicia faba (fava bean) is the source of this 204-nucleotide non-coding RNA. Lineage: Eukaryota; Viridiplantae; Streptophyta; Magnoliopsida; Fabales; Fabaceae. The record is from the annotation of a GenBank genome assembly.
AUGUUAAUGCAAAGCUCAAUGGUGUUAGACUACUACUGUGAAAAUUGUUGCAUUGACAUUGAUACUGGGUUGCUGGUUGAGGAAGGGUUUAAGCUUUAUGAGGAUGGAGUUGAUAAAGAUAGUAGUGAGCAGGUUGAUGCAGGGCUAGUCUUGGAUUGUUGUGGGCAGCGUAUGACUGUUUUGAAAGCAAGGCAUUUGGACUAG